RNAcentral lists this ribosomal RNA (253 nucleotides) under uncultured bacterium. RNAcentral describes it as "partial 16S ribosomal RNA". It matches the Rfam family "Bacterial small subunit ribosomal RNA", at positions 524 to 776 of the family's 1533-position model. The record is from RNAcentral.
UACGUAGGGUGCAAGCGUUGUCCGGAAUUAUUGGGCGUAAAGAGCUCGUAGGCGGUUUGUCGCGUCUGCCGUGAAAGUCCGGGGCUCAACUCCGGAUCUGCGGUCGAUACGGGCAGGCUCGAGUUCGGUAGGGGAGACUGGAAUUCCUGGUGUAGCGGUGAAAUGCGCAGAUAUCAGGAGGAACACCGGUGGCGAAGGCGGGUCUCUGGGCCGAUACUGACGCUGAGGAGCGAAAGCGUGGGGAGCGAACAGG